CAUCCCCGACAACGAGCGUCCAUGUCGUCGCCAAGAAAUAAACUACCCACAUUCUCGAACUAGGUGGGUCCAAACUUCACUGUUCCCUUCCUCUGCUCUCGACACAUGCAUUCUUCCCAGCUCACCCCACACUCUUGACUCCUAAGCUAUUUCAAAACAGCGCCGCACCUCCUUAGCCUCCAUGGAUCCCUCCCUGGCCCCGCCCUGCCCAGCCCGCGAGGACUGUUGGACCGAGGAAGCCACUCACACUCUCCUCGACGCCUGGGGCGACCGCUACGUCCAACUCAACCGCGGCAACCUCGGUCAGAAGCAGUGGCAGGAGGUCGCCGAUGCCGUCAACGCCCGUCACGCCCACUUUCCCAACUCCCUCCGCUCCGACGUCCAAUGCAAGAACCGCAUCGACACGCUCAAGAAGAAGUUCAAGAUCGAGAAGGCUAGGGUUUUCCAGUCAUGCGGCUCUUACGUCAGCUCCUGGCCCUUCUUCGCCCUCCUCGACGCUCUCAUCGGCUCCACCUUCCCCAAGUCUUCAUCUCCUGUCGCCUUAGGAAAUCGGAAAACCCCACCUACGGCUUCUCAGGCGUGGAAUCUCUCCUCGCCGGUGCCGGUUGGCCCCCGAACUCACAAACGCCCGCCACCAGCGGGCCACUCCCGGCGUAACUUCUUAGUUUUCUCGGCGGCGGAGGGCGAGGGUUCGGAGGACUUGAGGGGGAGCAUUGGGACUGAGAGCGAAGGAGGAAGAGUGAGGAGUGGUGGGUACAGGGAAUUGGCGCAGGCGAUAGAGAGGUUUGGGGAGAUAUAUGAGAGAGUGGAAUGGGUAAAGCAAAGGCAGAUGAUAGAGUUGGAGAAGCAGAAGAUGCAAUUCGCAAAGGACUUGGAAUGCCACAGGAUGCAGCUUUUGUUGGAAACGCAGGUCCAGCUUCAGAAGAUGAAGCGUGCCAGGCGGUCCGGAUAAAGUGAUUACAAUUUUGAUAAAGGAGUUCUAAAAGUGAAGAGUCCUUUGAGAUCCUCAUGUUGCUUACUUUUAGAAUGGCGUCCAUGUGCAACAAAAGUUGGUUCGUGGAUAACAAUGCUGUGGUUUGAUUACUACAAGGAAUUUUAAAGCAAUGCGUUUGAUAGUGUCAGUGGCCCUGGGUCAAGCAAAAUGGUGCAGGUUGUGAUAGUGUAGUAUAAAAAAAAAAAAAAUCUUGUGCUGUCAUCAAUAUAUUUGAUAACUUUCAUCAUCUGUUUUCUCCAUCUUUCCUCUCCUGUUGUGGGAAUCCCUGUUUGCUGUCACAUACUACUGAGGCAACGCCCCUUUUAAGGUUUAAUAUGCAUGCAUGUCAGGGUAGGGAGUCCAGCCAGACAUGACCACAGCUGUCUGUCUGCAUCUUGUGCAGCAUGCUGUUUAUGAACCAGUAAAAUUUAAAUAGUUUUUCAGUGUAAUUGAUAUAUAUCUUAUGUCACCAUAUCCAACAUCUAUGAGUAUCAUUGGACAUUAUGAACUUAUUUUUCUGGUUUUGUAAUUUCUAUUGACGUAUUGAAGUACCUGCAAUAUCCUGUGCAGGAAAUGUUCUUAUGGUUUCUUUUAGCCUAAUUUUGAUAAAUAUAUCUUAACUGAUCUUCUUGUUUU
This is an RNA transcript of Juglans microcarpa x Juglans regia, 1609 nucleotides long. It is a transcript of the gene named trihelix transcription factor ASIL2, with no coding region annotated. Lineage: Eukaryota; Viridiplantae; Streptophyta; Magnoliopsida; Fagales; Juglandaceae. The transcript has 3 exons. The record is from RefSeq and is a predicted model, not a curated record.